This 497-nucleotide ribosomal RNA is filed under the name uncultured bacterium. RNAcentral describes it as "partial 16S ribosomal RNA". It matches the Rfam family "Bacterial small subunit ribosomal RNA", at positions 28 to 507 of the family's 1533-position model. The record is from RNAcentral.
GAUGAACGCUGGCGGCGUGCCUAAUACAUGCAAGUCGAGCGAACAGACGAGGAGCUUGCUCCUCUGACGUUAGCGGCGGACGGGUGAGUAACACGUGGAUAACCUACCUAUAAGACUGGGAUAACUUCGGGAAACCGGAGCUAAUACCGGAUAAUAUAUUGAACCGCAUGGUUCAAUAGUGAAAGACGGUUUUGCUGUCACUUAUAGAUGGAUCCGCGCCGCAUUAGCUAGUUGGUAAGGUAACGGCUUACCAAGGCGACGAUGCGUAGCCGACCUGAGAGGGUGAUCGGCCACACUGGAACUGAGACACGGUCCAGACUCCUACGGGAGGCAGCAGUGGGGAAUCUUCCGAAAUGGGCGAAGGCCUGACGGAGCAACGCCGCGUGAGUGAUGAAGGUCUUCGGAUCGUAAAACUCUGUUAUUAGGGAAGAACAAAUGUGUAAGUAACUAUGCACGUCUUGACGGUACCUAAUCAGAAAGCCACGGCUAACUACGUG